UCUUUCUCUGACUAUAAACAUUUGAUCCAAACACAUCAACCAUUUCAAUUUCUCAAUCUCUGUUUUCAUCAAUUACGUUUACAUCUUUCAAUAUGGCUGAAGCGCUUGUGGAGAUUGUGUUGGAACAAGUUGUUUCAAUCAUUCGUCAACAGGCGGAAGAAGGGAUAAGGCUGAUUGCAGGUGCUGAGCAAGAAGUUGAGAAGCUUCAGAGCAAUUUCAUGGCCAUUCAAGCUGUGCUUACUGAUGCUGAGAACCGACAGGUGAAGGAGAACACUGUGAGAGUUUGGUUAGACAAGCUGAAAGACGUGUCUUAUGAAAUAGAUGAUGUGCUGGACGAGUGGAACACCAAGCUUCAGAUAUUGAAGAUUAAGAAAGCUGAAGAUGCAUUUAAUCCUAUGAAAAAGGACAUGUCAGAAAGGAUACAAGGUGACCCUACUAGAAAUAUUUGGCCUUGCUGUUCCAGUAUUUGUAAUGAUGAUGUCAAAGGUGGCCUUUUACACUCUCAUUACAUAUUUUGCUGCAUCGAUGGGAACACUCACCUUGGCUACUCAUCAAGUCAUGGUUCAAACAUUCCUGAUGUGUUCAGUGUGGGGUGGGCCUCUGUCUCAAACUGCACAAUCAUUUAUGCCUGAGUUUUUAUAUGGAUUAAAAUGGAGCUUGGCAAAGGUGGCCUUUUACACUCAUUACAUAUUUUGCUACGUUGAUGGGAACACUCACCUUGGCUGCUCAAGUCUCACUGUGCAACACAAUUUUGUCAAUCUGAAAGUUGAAGAUCUGCAAAAGAAUGAGUGGUGUUCUUCCAAGUUCAUUUCUUUCAAUCAAAACCUCAACCCCACUUCAUUUCUGGUGCUUCUUUGAAUCCAGCACAUAA
Pistacia vera is the source of this 871-nucleotide RNA transcript. It is a transcript of the gene named putative disease resistance RPP13-like protein 3, with no coding region annotated. Lineage: Eukaryota; Viridiplantae; Streptophyta; Magnoliopsida; Sapindales; Anacardiaceae. The record is from RefSeq and is a predicted model, not a curated record. The transcript is spliced from 6 exons.